RNAcentral lists this transfer RNA (87 nucleotides) under Candidatus Nomurabacteria bacterium RIFCSPLOWO2_02_FULL_44_12. RNAcentral describes it as "tRNA-Leu". It matches the Rfam family "tRNA". Rfam says of the family: Transfer RNA (tRNA) molecules are approximately 80 nucleotides in length. Their secondary structure includes four short double-helical elements and three loops (D, anti-codon, and T loops). RNAcentral also lists the same sequence under 1 other name. The record is from RNAcentral. Lineage: Bacteria; Candidatus Nomuraibacteriota.
GCGCGGGUGGCGAAACUGGUAGACGUACUACCUUGAGGUGGUAGCGCUCGCAAGAGCAUGGGAGUUCAAAUCUCCCCCCGCGCACCG